This 1110-nucleotide long non-coding RNA is filed under the name Mytilus galloprovincialis (Mediterranean mussel). The record is from RNAcentral. Lineage: Eukaryota; Metazoa; Mollusca; Bivalvia; Mytilida; Mytilidae.
UUUUUUUUUAUAUAAUUUGAGUCCAUUCCUAUGUACUAGAACUUGCAUGGAAUCAAUGAGACAUACUUUAAUUUUUGUUUUUUUAAGUUUGUUCAUACAAGGAUUGCUAACUAAUUUCCUUUUAUUUCAAAUAAUGAAGAAUUUACAUUCAGAAUACUUUCAUUAUGAUCUCUUAAACUUAAGUUUAAAUGAAAAAGGUAGGAGUAUCAGUAAUGAAAAGUAAGUCCUGUUUUUUAUCAUUUUAAUCCUGUCUUGAUCCAUUAUUCAUAAAUAUUUUGGCUACCCCUUGUACUAAUGUAAUAGAAAUGUAUUCUGUGUUGAAAUAAUUUAGUUACAGCACUAAAAAUACUUACCAAAAUAUAAAUAUUAAAUUAAGUCUUGGAAUAUAAUAAUAUUAAAAUUAUUAUCCCUAUUAUGGCACAUAGGGCCUAUUUCACUGAGACUUAGCUCUGAAACGUGAUAAAUGUGUUUCUCCAUUUUUUUUUUGCACAUGUCUUUAGUAUCAAAAUAUAUUUAAUAAAAUUAUUUUAAUAAUAUCCACAUGUAAAUAACAGCAUAUGGUGCUUAAUAUAAUAGUAGUUUGUUCAUGAGAAUGUCAAAUAAAGGGACGUAACUCGUAAAUUACCAUCUGCCCCGCUUUGUCAGAAAUAUCACCACAUCGAAGAGGCACUUUGCGUAUUAAGUGGCACAAAUUUGACACGUCAUAGUCCAAGUUAUUUUACAUAACAUAAUUUAGAUUCAGCAUAGCUUCACAAGAAGUUAAGAAAGAAAAUUAUGAUUUUAAUUUCCUGAGACCAAUUGUUUAGGUCAUCUCCUGGACUUUGAAGACACAUUUUGAGAGAAAAAAUGAUUUUAAUCCAGUAUUGAGUAGAUCAAUAUGUUUCUUAUAUACUCAAGAAUGUUCAAUUAAAAGAAAAUUAGUUAUAAUUCAUGCAAAAAACUGCAAAUUAAAAAAAAAGGGGCUUGACCUUUUUUGGUAAAAAAAUGCCCAUAUAUGGUAAUCACAUGACGUCCAUUGUUGCUUUAAGAAAGGGGGUCAAACCGGGGUCAGCUUUCCAACUGUUAGCACACAAAAUAAAUAUCUACAAACCAAUAGUAUAUUUGUAAAAA